AGGGGUAUAGUUCAAUGGUACAGCAUAUGAUUAGCAUGCACAAGGUCCUGGAUUCUAUUCCCACUACCUCUG
RNAcentral lists this transfer RNA (72 nucleotides) under Camelus bactrianus (Bactrian camel). It matches the Rfam family "tRNA". Rfam says of the family: Transfer RNA (tRNA) molecules are approximately 80 nucleotides in length. RNAcentral also lists the same sequence under 2 other names. The record is from Rfam by way of RNAcentral. Lineage: Eukaryota; Metazoa; Chordata; Mammalia; Artiodactyla; Camelidae.